Molecule: transfer RNA, 96 nt
Organism: Fusarium graminearum
Lineage: Eukaryota; Fungi; Ascomycota; Sordariomycetes; Hypocreales; Nectriaceae
Rfam family: tRNA
About the family: Transfer RNA (tRNA) molecules are approximately 80 nucleotides in length.
Source: Rfam
GACAACGUGUCCGAGUGGUUAAGGAGAUAGACUUGAAUCAUACCGAUUGGAUAUCUAUUGGCUUCGGCCUCGCAGGUUCGAAUCCUGUCGUUGUCG